RNAcentral lists this non-coding RNA (30 nucleotides) under Mus musculus (house mouse). Lineage: Eukaryota; Metazoa; Chordata; Mammalia; Rodentia; Muridae. The record is from RNAcentral.
UGGACUAUGUCGAGUUAGGGUGGAAAGGGG